Molecule: long non-coding RNA, 1384 nt
Filed under: Homo sapiens (human)
Lineage: Eukaryota; Metazoa; Chordata; Mammalia; Primates; Hominidae
Description: non-protein coding lnc-FAM84B-15:94
Source: RNAcentral
GGGGUCGUAUAGGUGAAACAACUCACUCAAUAUCACAAGCUGUUAUGUGGUGAAGUUUGCAUGAUCAGUACAGGGUUCUGGUCAUCCCACUCAUUGAGUGGUGCUAGUCAAGAUCUGGAAGCUCUUCUGGUCUUAGUUUCUCUAGCCGUGAAGUGACAAUGAUUAGGUCUAAUCAUAGAACAUGAGAGUACAUGUGAAAAAAUGCCUUUUUAAAGAGUAUGAAAAACUUGAGUUGUAAAAUUUUCUUGUGGAUAAUUUAUUAUUGCUUUUCUUUUUUAGAUAACACUAACAAAGUUGACCUUAGAAUUGGAGUGCCUGGGUUAGAACCCUGCUGGUACCACCUGCUUACUGCAUGCUUCUGAUGUGAGUUCAGGAGAAGACACUGGCAAGGACAGCAAAGAACAGGAGAACACUCUAGCUUCCCUGAUAGCAUUCAAGGUGCUGUCCAAAGCUCUUGAGUUUCUGCUUUCAAGUGACCCUCAGAAAUUCCUCCAUUCACUGCAGAGGUUCUGUUUCUCCUUGCUUUGUUCUGACUUUACGGCAGAACUAAGCUAAUGAGUUAGUUACUAUGGGUUAUCACUUGGAUUUGAAGAACCAUCAUUUCUAGGCAUUGCUGCUCAGAGUGGGUCUGCCCUCAGGGGAAGCUGUCUAACCAGAGCCUAACCCACUAGGGUUUUAUCAGAACCUAACUGACCUGAGGAAAAGAAAUACUCAACUCCAGCAAGCUCCAGCCUUCCAAAUGGAGGAGGAGAAAACCCAACUCCAGCCCACUUCAGCUAUCUUGUCCCACAUAAAGGGGAAGUGGAAGAAACCUGAGAAGCAGGCAUGAAGUUCACAGUCCAGAGGUACAGACACAUCAGAGUUCAGUAUCUGAUGAAUUAGAUGCAAAAACCUCAACAAAGUAUUAGCAAAUUGAAUUCAACAAUGUAUGAAAAUUAUUACAUGCCAUGACUAAUUGGAAUUUAUCUCAGGUAUACAAGCCACGCUGAACAUCUGAAAAUCAAUUCAUGUGAUCCAUCACAUUAGCAGACUCAAGAAAAAAAACCACAUUAUCAUAUCAGUAGAUGUAGAAAAAAAAAAUUAACAAAAUCCAGCACCCAUUCACAAUGAAAAUGCCCAGUAAAUUAGAAAUAGAAGGUAACUUCCUCAAAUUGAUAAGGAAUAUCUCUAAAAACCUACAACUAAAAUCAUACUUAAUGGUAGAAAACUAGAAGCCUUCCCAGUAAGAGUAAGAACAAGUCAAAGAUGUAUGCUCUCACCAAUGCUUUUCAACAUCAUAUUGGAAGUCCUAGCUAGUGCAAUAAGCAAAAAAAAAAAAAAAGUUAUAUUAAUAAGAACAAAAACUGUGUUUGUUUGCAGAUGACAUGAUUUUCUAUGCAAAAAA